UCGGGAAUUUUGGGCAAUGGGGGAAACCCUGACCCAGCAACGCCGCGUGAAGGAUGAAGUAUUUCGGUAUGUAAACUUCGAAAGAAUAGGAAGAAUAAAUGACGGUACUAUUUAUAAGGUCCGGCUAACUACGUGCCAGCAGCCGCGGUAAUACGUAGGGACCAAGCGUUGUUCGGAUUUACUGGGCGUAAAGGGCGCGUAGGCGGCAUGACAAGUCACUUGUGAAAUCUCUGGGCUUAACCCAGAACGGCCAAGUGAUACUGUCGCGCUAGAGUGCAGAAGGGGCAAUCGGAAUUCUUGGUGUAGCGGUGAAAUGCAUAGAUAUCAAGAGGAACACCUGAGGUGAAGACGGGUUGCUGGGCUGACACUGACGCUGAGGCGCGAAAGCCAGGGGAGCAAACAGGAUUAGAUACCCCUGUAGUCCCUGAGCGGGCUGGCAAGGCGCAU
Molecule: ribosomal RNA, 447 nt
Filed under: uncultured bacterium
Lineage: Bacteria
Description: bacterial SSU rRNA
Rfam family: Bacterial small subunit ribosomal RNA
Source: RNAcentral